RNAcentral lists this ribosomal RNA (573 nucleotides) under uncultured bacterium. Its description in RNAcentral is "bacterial SSU rRNA". It matches the Rfam family "Bacterial small subunit ribosomal RNA", at positions 59 to 626 of the family's 1533-position model. The record is from RNAcentral.
CAGUCGAGCGAGAAGACGUAGCAAUACGUUUGUAAAGCGGCGAACGGGUGAGGAAUACAUGGGUAACCUACCCUCGAGUGGGGAAUAACUAGCCGAAAGGUUAGCUAAUACCGCAUACGAUUCCCAGACUGCGGUUUGGGAAAGAAAGCAAUACCGUGGGUAUUGCGCUCUUGGAUGGGCUCAUGUCCUAUCAGCUUGUUGGUGAGGUAACGGCUCACCAAGGCUUCGACGGGUAGCUGGUCUGAGAGGACGAUCAGCCACACUGGCACUGCGACACGGGCCAGACUCCUACGGGAGGCAGCAGUAAGGAAUAUUGCGCAAUGGACGACAGUCUGACGCAGCGACGCCGCGUGGGGGAUGAAGGUCUUCGGAUUGUAAACCCCUUUCGGCAGGGAAGAUGGAACGGGUAACCGUUCGGACGGUACCUGCAGAAGCAGCCACGGCUAACUUCGUGCCAGCAGCCGCGGUAAUACGAAGGUGGCAAGCGUUGUUCGGAUUCACUGGGCGUACAGGGAGCGUAGGCGGUUAGGUAAGCCCUCCGUGAAAUCUCCGGGCCUAACCCGGAAAGUGCAG